Molecule: small nucleolar RNA, 119 nt
Organism: Suncus etruscus (white-toothed pygmy shrew)
Lineage: Eukaryota; Metazoa; Chordata; Mammalia; Eulipotyphla; Soricidae
Product: small nucleolar RNA SNORA68
Exons: 1
Source: RefSeq, a predicted model, not a curated record
CCUGAAACCCAAGAACUGCUGCUGCUUACAGCAGUGGCUUAAAGAGAUGCUGAUAGCAAGCAGAUCUCCUUCAAUUUGGGGGGACUAUUAAAUUAAAGGGAAUUUAGAGGUUAACAUAC